Molecule: ribosomal RNA, 387 nt
Filed under: uncultured bacterium
Lineage: Bacteria
Description: bacterial SSU rRNA
Rfam family: Bacterial small subunit ribosomal RNA
Source: RNAcentral
AUUGAACGCUGGCGGCAUGCUUUACACAUGCAAGUCGAGCGGCAGCGCGGGGGCAACCCUGGCGGCGAGCGGCGAACGGGUGAGGAAUACAUCGGAACGUACCCCGGAGUGGGGGAUAACGCCGCGAAAGCGGCGCUAAUACCGCAUAUGCUCUGAGGAGGAAAGUGGGGGACCGCAAGGCCUCACGCUCUGGGAGCGGCCGAUGUCCGAUUAGCUAGUUGGUGGGGUAAAGGCCCACCAAGGCGACGAUCGGUAGCUGGUCUGAGAGGAUGAUCAGCCACACUGGGACUGAGACACGGCCCAGACUCCUACGGGAGGCAGCAGUGGGGAAUUUUGGACAAGUGGGCGAAAGCCUGAUCCAGCCAUGCCGCGUGAGUGAAGAAGGCC